GACGAACGCUGGCGGCGUGCUUAACACAUGCAAGUCGAACGGAAAGACCCUGCUUUUGUGGGGUGCUCGAGUGGCGAACGGGUGAGUAACACGUGAGUAACCUGCCCUUGACUUUGGGAUAACUUCAGGAAACUGGGGCUAAUACCGGAUAGGAGCUCCUGCUGCAUGGUGGGGGUUGGAAAGUUUCGGCGGUUGGGGAUGGACUCGCGGCUUAUCAGCUUGUUGGUGGGGUAGUGGCUUACCAAGGCUUUGACGGGUAGCCGGCCUGAGAGGGUGACCGGCCACAUUGGGACUGAGAUACGGCCCAGACUCCUACGGGAGGCAGCAGUGGGGAAUAUUGCACAAUGGGCGGAAGCCUGGUGCAGCAACGCCGCGUGCGGGAUGACGGCCUUCGGGUUGUAAACCGCUUUCGCCUGUGACGAAGCGUGAGUGACGGUAAUGGGUAAAGAAGCACCGGCUAACUACGUG
This 468-nucleotide ribosomal RNA is filed under the name uncultured bacterium. RNAcentral's name for it is "partial 16S ribosomal RNA". It matches the Rfam family "Bacterial small subunit ribosomal RNA", at positions 28 to 507 of the family's 1533-position model. The record is from RNAcentral.